UACGGAGGGCGCGAGCGUUAAUCGGAAUUACUGGGCGUAAAGCGCGCGUAGGCGGCUCGAUAAGUCGGUUGUGAAAGCCCCGGGCUCAACCUGGGAAUGGCAUCCGGAAAUGUGGGGUUAGAGUGCAGGAGAGGAAGGUAGAAUUCCCGGUGUAGCGGUGAAAUGCGUAGAGAUCGGGAGGAAUACCAGUGGCGAAGGCGGCCUUCUGGCCUGACACUGACGCUGAGGUGCGAAAGCGUGGGUAGCAAACAGG
This 253-nucleotide unclassified non-coding RNA is filed under the name uncultured Halomonadaceae bacterium. Its description in RNAcentral is "contains 16S-23S intergenic spacer region". It matches the Rfam family "Bacterial small subunit ribosomal RNA", at positions 524 to 776 of the family's 1533-position model. The record is from RNAcentral. Lineage: Bacteria; Pseudomonadati; Pseudomonadota; Gammaproteobacteria; Oceanospirillales; Halomonadaceae.